GACGAACUGUCCUAACGUUGUUCGGAAUCAUUGGGUUUAAAGGGUGCGUAGGCGGCUUAUUAAGUCAGUGGUAAAAUACUCUAGCUCAACUAGAGGGGUGCCAUUGAUACUGAUGAGCUUGAGUACAGAUGAGGUAGGCGGAAUUGACGGUGUAGCGGUGAAAUGCUUGGAUAUCGUCAAGAACACCUAUAGCGAAGGCAGCUUACUAGGCUGUAACUGACGCUGAGGCACGAAAGUGUGGGGAUCAAACAGG
This 253-nucleotide ribosomal RNA is filed under the name uncultured organism. RNAcentral describes it as "partial 16S ribosomal RNA". It matches the Rfam family "Bacterial small subunit ribosomal RNA", at positions 524 to 776 of the family's 1533-position model. The record is from RNAcentral.